GUGCGAGACCGAUAGCGAACAAGUACCGUGAGGGAAAGAUGAAAAGAACUUUGAAAAGAGAGUUAAAGAGUACCUGAAACUGCUGAAAGGGAAGCGAAUCGUAUCCAGUGUCUAUAAUCUGCGGCAUAUUUCAUUGGCGGCAGUGUGCGUGCUUUUGCGUCGGAAGCGGCUUUUGUUGCUCUGUGCUUUUGCUGUGCGUGGUGUUGCUGGUGCCCUGUGUUGCGGUGGGACGUCAGAGUCAGUUUGUAUGCUGCGGGAAAUGGCUGCCGAGGAGGUAGGUCGAGAUUUCGGUCUUGGCUGCUAUAUCUUGGUGGUUUGUUGUCGUGGUUGGGACUGAGGUGCCUACAAUGUGCUUUUGAGUGUGCCGGGUUCUCAUUUGGUGGACUGUUUGGAUAGCUUGCUAUGCUUGUGGUUUUUUCAUCGGGUGAUUGAGUCUGGUGGUAACUUGUUGCUGUUCGGGACUUUGA
RNAcentral lists this ribosomal RNA (467 nucleotides) under uncultured Oomycota. Its description in RNAcentral is "LSU rRNA". The stretch from base 1 to 83 matches the Rfam family "Bacterial large subunit ribosomal RNA", at positions 476 to 559 of the family's 2925-position model. Lineage: Eukaryota; Oomycota. The record is from RNAcentral.